GAGAGCGACACGCAUGUCCAUAGGGAAGCAGAGAGAGACACGCAUGUGCAGUAAGGAAGCAGAGAGUGACACGCAUGUCCAUAGGGAAGCAGAGAGUGACACGCAUGUCCAUAGGGAAGCAGAGAGUGACACGCAUGUCCAUAGGGAAGCAGAGAGUGACACGCAUGUCCAUAGGGAAGCAGAGAGUGACACGCAUGUCCAUAGGGAAGCAGAGAGUGACACGCAUGUCCAUAGGGAAGCAGAGAGUGACACGCAUGUCCAUAGGGAAGCAGAGAGUGACACGCAUGUCCAUAGGGAAGCAGAGAGUGACACGCAUCUCCAGUAGGGAAGCAGAGAGUGACACGCAUGUGCAUAAGGAAGCAGAGAGUGACACGCAUGUCCACAGGGAAGCAGAGAGCGACACGCAUGUGCAGUAGGGAAGCAGAGUGAUGAGUCUUUGCUCCACACAUGGUAAACCCAUGUCUACUCCCUCUGUUCUCUCUCUGCUUUUGUUUUCUUUACUUUUUUUUUUUUUUUUGCUUUUUAGGGCCACACUUGAGGUAUAUGGAGGUUCCCAGGCUAGGGGUCUAAUCGGAGCUACAGCUGUUGGCCUGCACCACAGCCACAGCAACGUGGGCUCCUUAACCCACUGAGCGAGGACAGGGAUCGAACGCAGGACCUCAUGGUUACUUGUCAGAUUCAUUUCCACUGCACCCCCAACUCCUGUUUUCGGUCUUGAUGUUUGAAUUUCUCCUGUGGCGAACAAGAUGUUGUCCCAAGACAGUUUUAAGAGUCACCUGGUGCUUAAACCAGAGAAGUGAUACUCCCGAGGAAUUGCUUUUUUUUUUCCUGGACAGUGGCAAGAAGGUAACCUUUAAACAGUAAAUGUUUCCCCCUCCAAUGAAUGUGUGACCUGGGUUUGCUCUAGGUCUUUGGAGAAAAGUCAGACUGCCCUAGAGAAACACUUAUGAAAUUAGCUGUCACCCUAAGAUUGGACACCUUCUCCCUGCCCGUGGCCCCAGGCAGGGGACAGAGAAGGGAUCCCUCCUAGGAGACCUUCUCCUGGUCAGGAAGUGAGGCCGGCGCUCCGGGAUGGGGGCGGGGGGGUGACUCAGUGAGGAGGCAGCGGGUGUGGUUCCUUCCAGACAUGCUCCAGCUGCUCCAAGAGCCGGAAAGACAUGGUCACUUCUUCUUUGUGGGUUUUGCCCGAAUUUGCAAUGUCCCAUUUUUGAGAUAAAACUGGAAUCCUGUUUUUAUCCUGUGCUCUCUGAAGAAUUUCUGUCUCGGGACAUGGUUAGAUCAAUGAAGUUACAUAGUUUUAAGGUUAUUUGUUGCCUUUGCAUCAAGGUAUGUGGUCAGUUGUAGACAGACCUCCGUGGAGUUGAGAGAUUAGGACUCGCUGGACUGAAAGAGCAUGAUCAUUCCAAAGACGCUUGUUUGAAAGUUUGGGUUUUUUUUUCCCCGUUUGUUUUUUGUUUGGGCUUGUUCUCCCCCCGCCCUGUUGAUUUCUAAGCAAGUUUCAGCAUCCUCCGCAAGCUGCCCGCAUCCUUCCGGAAGCAUUCUCACUUUGGACUUGACCUCUGACAUUGCAGGAAACAUGAAUCUCAGAGUGCAUCGCUCAUUCCCAACAUUUCCAAACUAAAAUUGCUUCUUCUCCCAGUUGGCUCGGGGAGUGCCCUGCCUCCCCAAGCCCGGCUCAGACGGUGGGUCUCCAUGCAUGAAUACCUGAAAAAGCCACAUUCUCAUUGGUGCCCGUGGGCCCCGACUGUGGGGAUGACAUAAAAAAUUUUGGCUCCGAAGCACUUUAGCAAAAAAAGAAACAGGCUAGAACAAUGGGCUGAAAAUGAUCUUGGCCUUUCAAGUGCUUUAUCCAACGUUCCAGUGUGAGAACCUGAUCUCCCAGAAAGUACUUCUUUUAUUGCCAACCACAGAGAAUCACUGACAGAACUAAUUAAAGAAUUUGAACCUCGUUCUGUCCUUCGUUAGCUGACCCUCAACCAGGGGCUGGACUCGAAACAAAGACGCUCUGAGCCAACCAGAUAUAGAAUGUGAGCCUCUCGCGGCGGAAGAGGGCUGUGCUCUCAUCCCCCUCUUGGAAAGAGCUACUUGAGCGCAGGAUACUUCUCCCUCUCUUUUUUCUUUUUCUUUUUUUUUACAAUGGAAAACGCGUUGGGUUGCCAUCAGAAAUAAUGAAGUUUGAAGUUCCUGAAAGUUAUUCACUUAUUGGACUCGACUUUCCACCCUUUUCUUGAAUUCCAGGAGCCAGGUCAAGACAGUGAGUUCUCAUGGAAAAUUAAGUGCUUUUGCAAAGGUGCUUAAAGAAAAAUGCUUGUUUCAGGUUUCAGACUCUCAAGGGGAUGAUGGUCAUUGAUUCCAGGCUUGAGACAACGAUAAAGACUUCCAGAUAUGAAUGGACUUCGGUGGAGUCUGGCCGGUUUACCCGAAAAUCUGCCCCUCCCCCGAGUCUGGUCCUAUCCUGGAUAUUCACCCUUCUUGUUCUUUUCCUCCCUACAUUUUAAGAUCGCACAACUUGGCAGUCGUCGUCACGGUCACAUGGAAUGACAUUUAUUGACUGAGUAUCUUGGCUGAUUGAAGAAUGACUAUUUUAAGAUUGUGGCAUGACUUCUUAGAGUUACAUAAUUAUCCACUGACGUGAAGGACCCACCAGGACAUACAUCUUUAUUAGUUUUUUGGUCAGCUGGCAUACAGUGGAAGAAGAAGAGCCUCAGGGAAGCUCCUGGGGAAAACUAUUAUUUUAUUCAUCUGGAAAAAUAUCAGGCUUAGAGAUUCAUAAUUUAUUUUUAUUUUUAUUUUUUUGUCUUUUUGCCUUUUCUUGAGCCGCUCCCGCGGCAUAUGGAGGUUCCCAGGUAGGGGUCGAAUCAGAGCUGUAGUCGCCAGCCUACACCACAGCACCGUGGGAUCCGAGCCAUGUCUGCAACCUACACCACAGCUCAAUCAACGCCGGAUCCUUUACCCACUGAGCAAGGCCAGGGAUCGAACCUGCAACCUCAUGGUUCCCAGUUGGAUUCGUUAACCACUGCGCCAGGACGGGAACUCCUCAUAAUUUAUUUUUAAAAUUAGAAAGCAGGAACACAAAUACUAUUUCAUUUUCAAAUGUUUGUUUUUUGUUUUAACCCUGGUAACAAUAAGGGGGGAGAUUUGGGCACAAAAAUCUUCACAUAAAAAUAAAGGGCGGAUCUCCUGUCUGGAGUAGUCCCACCCAACUUGCCCUCACCCUGCACAUCCGGCCGCCCCAUCCGGUUUCAUCAAUGGAGACUGAAAAGGUGUUUCUAAAAGCAUCUGACAUCAAGUCAAGGUCCCCUUAAUCCAGAAUAAGCUAGAACCCACAAGAGCGACUAACUGCAAACAAAGGUCAACUGCAGCCUGUGCUCAGAAUGGGGCUCCUGAGCUCGCUCCUCUAGGGAGCCCGGCCCGAGAGCUCGGCUCCUGCUGUGUGCGCGCCUCAAGAGGUCGCCCAGGAAGCAGAUGCAGGCUUUGGCAUGUCCGCUAAUCCCUCACUCUGGAGACCUAGGCUUCCACGCCAGACAGAUUCUCUUGCAAAUGGCCACAUACUUGACUUUGAACUUUUAGUGAGAGGUUGAAUGUGGGGUGGCCCAUGAGUGAAACUCAACUAUGCAAUCCCAGAAGUAGGCAAAAAGUACGGGGAAGAAAAGGGAAAUUAACAUUCUCGGAUUAUUUGACCAGGAGAGCACAAAAAUUGCUUCUGUGACAAUGGGAUCUUGAAGGCAUUGCAAUGGAGCCCAAGGAGAAUGAAAGAGCCGCAUGUACUUUGUGAGAUCUCUCUGUUCAGUUGUGCUGUGUAGAAUCCACUAUUUUCUCCUCCCUUAAGAAAAUCUUGGGUGUGUUCCAUAACUUCCUGGUCACAUUUGGUAAUUAAAACUUAGUGUGGCUU
This 3892-nucleotide long non-coding RNA is filed under the name Sus scrofa (pig). RNAcentral's name for it is "lncRNA (ENSSSCG00065078113.1)". Lineage: Eukaryota; Metazoa; Chordata; Mammalia; Artiodactyla; Suidae. The record is from RNAcentral.